Podarcis lilfordi (Lilford's wall lizard) is the source of this 72-nucleotide non-coding RNA. The record is from the annotation of a GenBank genome assembly. Lineage: Eukaryota; Metazoa; Chordata; Lepidosauria; Squamata; Lacertidae.
GCUGGGGUAGCUCAGUCGGUACAGCGUGAGACUCUGAAUUUUUGGGCAGUGGGUUCGAGUCCCGCUUUGGCU